CUGUGCUAGACGGGGAGCUAGCGGUGCCCUAUACCCGCAAUCCGCUGCAGCGGGGUUGAACUCCUCUCCAAGGCUUAGUUGGUAGGCCUCUAGCCGCACUGGGCAGUGCUGAUAGCUGGGUCCCGCGCGACGGAGGUCUGUGAACCCCGCCAGGUCCGGAAGGAAGCAACGGUAAACAGAACCCUUCGGGUGCCGAGGGAGUGCCUGGCUGGAGCUGUCUCUGUAGCUAUGCUCAUCAGCUAUGGUCGAAGAGGGGUGCACAG
RNAcentral lists this signal recognition particle RNA (263 nucleotides) under Dehalococcoidia bacterium. RNAcentral describes it as "signal recognition particle sRNA large type". It matches the Rfam family "Bacterial large signal recognition particle RNA". From Rfam's summary of the family: The signal recognition particle (SRP) is a universally conserved ribonucleoprotein involved in the co-translational targeting of proteins to membranes. Archaeal SRP consists of a 7S RNA and homologues of the eukaryotic SRP19 and SRP54 proteins. Lineage: Bacteria; Bacillati; Chloroflexota; Dehalococcoidia. The record is from RNAcentral.